CCUAUCUGCUACCUAGCGAACACACAGCCAAGGGAACAGGCUUGGAAUAAUCAGCGGGGAAAGAAGACCCCUUUUGAGCUUGACUCUAGUCCGACUUUGUGAAAUGACUUACGAGGUAUAGCCUAAGUGGGAGCUCACGCGAACCUGUAAAACCACUACUCGUUUUGCCAUUUUACUUAUUCCGUGAAAUAGUGACCACUUUCCGGUGGUUCUAGUAUUAAGGUUAGGCGCAAGCUCGACUGAACUAAGCGGAAGACAUGGUCAGGUGGGGAGUUUUGGCUGGGGCGGCACAUCUGUUAAACUAUAACGCAGGUGUCCUACGGUGAGCUCAGAGAGAACAGAAAUCUCUCGUAGACCAAAAGGGGAAAAGCUACGACUUGAUUUUGAUUUUCAGUAUGAAUACAAACUGU
Molecule: ribosomal RNA, 410 nt
Filed under: uncultured eukaryote
Lineage: Eukaryota
Description: eukaryotic LSU rRNA
Rfam family: Eukaryotic large subunit ribosomal RNA
Source: RNAcentral